CCAACAGGGAUGGCCCCAGUAACGGCGAGUGAAGCGGCCACAGCUCAAAUUUGAAAUCUGGCCCCAGGCCCGAGUUGUAAUUUGCAGAGGAUGCUUCGGGCGCGGUGCCUUCCAAGUCCCCUGGAACGGGGCGCCACAGAGGGUGAGAGCCCCGUACGGUUGGACGCCAAGCCUGUGUGAAGCUCCUUCGACGAGUCGAGUAGUUUGGGAAUGCUGCUCUAAAUGGGAGGUAGACCCCUUCUAAAGCUAAAUACCGGCUGGAGACCGAUAGCGCACAAGUAGAGUGAUCGAAAGAUGAAAAGAACUUUGAAAAGAGGGUUAAACAGCACGUGAAAUUGUUGAAAGGGAAGCGCUUGUGACCAGACUUGCGCCGGGGCGAUCCUCUGGCGUUCUCGCCAGGGCACUCGCCCCGGGGCAGGCCAGCGUCGGUUUGGGCGGGGGGACAAGGACGUUGGGCACGUAGCUCCCCCGGGAGUGUUAUAGCCCGUCGUGCGAUGCCCCCUCCCGGACCGAGGUACGCGCUCUGCAAGGACGCUGGCGUAAUGGUCACCAGCGGCCCGUCUUGAAACACGGACCAAGGAGUCGAGGUUCUGCGCGAGUGUUUGGGUGCCAAACCCGCACGCGCAAUGAAAGUGAACGUAGGUGGGAGCCUCGGCGCACCACCGACCGAUCCUGAUGUUCUCGGAUGGAUUUGAGUAAGAGCGUUGGGCCUCGGACCCGAAAGAUGGUGAACUAUGCUUGGAUAGGGUGAAGCCAGAGGAAACUCUGGUGGAGGCUCGCAGCGGUUCUGACGUGCAAAUCGAUCGUCAAAUCUGAGCAUGGGGGGCGAAAGACUAAUCGAACCAU
RNAcentral lists this ribosomal RNA (846 nucleotides) under Fuscocatenula variegata. RNAcentral describes it as "partial large subunit ribosomal RNA". It matches the Rfam family "Eukaryotic large subunit ribosomal RNA", at positions 65 to 943 of the family's 3401-position model. Lineage: Eukaryota; Fungi; Ascomycota; Sordariomycetes; Chaetosphaeriales; Chaetosphaeriaceae. The record is from RNAcentral.